UGAACUUAAGCAUAUCAUA
This 19-nucleotide ribosomal RNA is filed under the name Rhizoctonia sp. AG-G. Its description in RNAcentral is "partial 28S ribosomal RNA". The record is from RNAcentral. Lineage: Eukaryota; Fungi; Basidiomycota; Agaricomycetes; Cantharellales; Ceratobasidiaceae.